AGCCCCGAGGUGAUUUUCAUGUUGAACUGCAAAUUCAAAGGAGCAGUAGACUUCUGCCGGGGCUU
RNAcentral lists this transfer RNA (65 nucleotides) under Trachypithecus cristatus (Silvery lutung). Its description in RNAcentral is "tRNA-Cys". Lineage: Eukaryota; Metazoa; Chordata; Mammalia; Primates; Cercopithecidae. RNAcentral also lists the same sequence under 1 other name. The record is from RNAcentral.